AUUGAACGCUGGCGGCAGGCCUAACACAUGCAAGUCGAACGAGUGGCGGACGGGUGAGUAAUGUCUGGGAAACUGCCUGAUGGAGGGGGAUAACUACUGGAAACGGUAGCUAAUAACGCAUACCAUCAGAUGUGCCCAGAUGGGUUUAGCUUGUUGGGGGGGUAACGGCUGACAAAGGCGACGAUCCCUAGCUGGUCUGCGCGGAUGACCAGCCACACUGGAAAGGAGACACGGUCCAGACGCCUACGGGAGGCAGAAGUGGGGAAUAUUGCACAAUGGGCACAAGCCUGAUGCAGCCAUGCCGCGUGUAUGAAGAAGGCCUUCGGGUUGUAAAGUACUUUCAGCGGGGAGGCGUUACCCGCAGAAGAAGCACCGGCUAACUCCGUGCCAGCAGCCGCGGUAAUUC
This 406-nucleotide ribosomal RNA is filed under the name uncultured bacterium. RNAcentral's name for it is "partial 16S ribosomal RNA". It matches the Rfam family "Bacterial small subunit ribosomal RNA", at positions 30 to 526 of the family's 1533-position model. The record is from RNAcentral.